Alosa sapidissima (American shad) is the source of this 294-nucleotide long non-coding RNA. RefSeq lists it as uncharacterized. The record is from RefSeq and is a predicted model, not a curated record. The transcript is spliced from 3 exons. Lineage: Eukaryota; Metazoa; Chordata; Actinopteri; Clupeiformes; Clupeidae.
CUGAGUAGACUGCCAUUGGACAUUCAUUGUUUCGUGAUUUAAGAGGCACAGCCAGCCGCUGGUCCGAUGUGUUGGACUUCUACACUCCUUUCUACCCCCACCCUCUCGCACUAGACCCAUGUCUUUGGUUUGGUCGCAAUUCCUUCAGUCGUCCUAGGCAGUUACCUGUUGAUAGGCUCAUCCCAAAGCAGAAAGACACUUGACUGCUGAGAGCUGGAUUGCUCCUGUGGAAAGAAGCUCCUGGCCUUUUCUCUAUUUGGACACAACUGUGGAGGAAGGUGGGACAUGUCCCAA